GAUGAACGCUGGCGGCGUGCCUAAUACAUGCAAGUCGAGCGAACAGAUGAGGAGCUUGCUCCUCUGACGUUAGCGGCGGACGGGUGAGUAACACGUGGAUAACCUACCUAUAAGACUGGGAUAACUUCGGGAAACCGGAGCUAAUACCGGAUAAUAUAUUGAACCGCAUGGUUCAAUAGUGGAAGACGGUUUUGCUGUCACUUAUAGAUGGAUCCGCGCCGCAUUAGCUAGUUGGUAAGGUAACGGCUUACCAAGGCAACGAUGCGUAGCCGACCUGAGAGGGUGAUCGGCCACAAUGGAACUGAGACACGGUCCAGACUCCUACGGGAGGCAGCAGUAGGGAAUCUUCCGCAAUGGGCGAAAGCCUGACGGAGCAACGCCGCGUGAGUGAUGAAGGUCUUCGGAUCGUAAAACUCUGUUAUUAGGGAAGAACAAAUGUGUAAGUAACUAUGCACGUCUUGACGGUACCUAAUCAGAAAGCCACGGCUAACUACGUG
RNAcentral lists this ribosomal RNA (497 nucleotides) under uncultured bacterium. RNAcentral's name for it is "partial 16S ribosomal RNA". It matches the Rfam family "Bacterial small subunit ribosomal RNA", at positions 28 to 507 of the family's 1533-position model. The record is from RNAcentral.